GGCAGAAAUGGUGAAGAAUCCUAGCAUAAUGAAGAAAGCCCAGGAAGAAGUGAGGAAGGUCUUUGGUGAAAAGGGAGACAUGGAUGAUUCUUCAGGUCAUGGUGAAUUAAAAUAUUUGAAGUUAGUCAUCAAAGAAACCUUAAGACUGCAUCCUCCAGUGGCAUUGAUUCCAAGAGAAUGUGGUGAGAAAUCUGAGCUAAAUGGGUAUGACAUUUAUCCCAAAACUAAAGUUCUUGUCAAUGCAUGGGCAAUUGGGAGGGAUCCUAAUUCAUGGAAGGAUUCUGAAAAUUUUGAUCCAGAGAGAUUUCUUGAUAGCU
RNAcentral lists this unclassified non-coding RNA (317 nucleotides) under Hevea brasiliensis (rubber tree). The record is from RNAcentral. Lineage: Eukaryota; Viridiplantae; Streptophyta; Magnoliopsida; Malpighiales; Euphorbiaceae.